CACAUAAACGUCCUUUCUUUAAUUCUAAACACGACGAACAAAAUCUUUAACAAGAGCAAUAUCUUUUUAAUUUUCCUAGGGAAAUUUUUAUCGGAGGUACUUGCGACUUUUUGUUAUCGACGAACUGAUACCGAAUUUCGGUCGGUAAUUUGUAAAUGUAAUGCAGAAAGAUAAGUUAUCGGUUGAAAGUUUGAUCAAUGUGAUUGGAAAGCAAUUCAGAAAAUAAACAGGGAAGGUAUAUGUUUUAUAUGAUAUUGGACGGCUUCGUAUUGCUUCUUCGACUCGUCAAAUAACGAAGGAAUGUCGAAUAGACACAUCCUCUGGGGAGAGGGGUAGAUUCUCGCGUAAAAUUUUUUUUUGGGCCAACUACUAGUUGUACAGGAUUAAAUAGAUUUCUGACACGCAGAUAUAAUCUUGAAGUACGAAUGUAAUUUUUUUUUAUUUCAACUAUAGUUACGCUGCAUAAUAUAAUAAUGCCACACGCUGCUACACUGGAUGUUCCUUAUGUUUUUAGUGAAAUUCAUUCAGUGAUCGAUUGAAAUCGAGCCACGGAGUGGGGAAAAUACUAAAGAAGACUCGAUAAACAGACUUUUGCUCACAUCAGACUCUUUAAUAUCGAGUUUCAGAGAAAUUGCAAGUUAUAUGCAGUUUUUGAUCUUUGUCCCGAAUACUCAGGCGAUGGAUUUCGCUCACAUAAUCGUACGACUAUCCGACCUUGUUUUCGAGUUAUAGCGAGUUUUUCCUUUAUCAAACUAAAUCUGCAUACCUUCGCAUUUAAUAAUCUGGCAUUUAUUUAUUUAUGCGUGAGAUACUGAGACGAAGAAUUAGAAUACAAGGUUCAAUGUCAGAUAUUGCGUUCUGCUUGUAAAUAAGGUAAAUCACAUUAGCUCAACUGCUUCCUUCUGUCUCCUCCUGCCGCCCUCUGUAGGAUUAUUUCAACAUAAAACUCGCUGUAACUCGAAAACAAAGUCAAAUAGCAGACGUGUAUUAUGCGAGAGAAACUUUAGGGACCUCGAAGCACUGAUCGGAGAAGUGCACCGAGACGUGGGAACGAAGGGGCCUGCGAUAUAGAAAGAAGAAGGAGACAGUUCGUACAACAGAGUAACAGAACAAAGAAGAGAUUCACGAAGGUCUGGAAGGAAAUAUUCUUAUCUGAAAUGAGGUGGAGAUCGAAAGUGUCGUAGUUUUGCAAGAUCGUCGAUGUUUCCAUGUGAUUUGCAGCGGUCGUUGACCCCAGACAUCGUUCGUACAGAAACAGACUUUUUGCAGUAAUCAUCGCGGCCAAUCAAGUCAUUGCUCUAAGCUCGUUUCAGCCUCGUGGCGCGAAUUACCUACUUGUUAAGGAGACGAUGCACAGCGUUUGAGAACGAUCGUUCGAUCCGGAAAAAGUUAUAAUAUGUUCGCCGUUCUCUCUAUUAUUUCGUUCUUCCUCCAAGUUUCUAUAUCCUUAACGAUCCAUAACUACCUAUAGAAAUCGUUUAAAUAAGAUAGUAUGUAUGUACAGGGUGUCAUAAAAGAAGCGCUAUCAUUUUACUGAGAAAUAAUUUCUACCUAAAAUAAGAUAAAUAUAGAAACCACAAAAAUAUGCCACAGUGGAAAACGGUAAAAUAUCACGAAACGUACCUGGACAAGAGGCUAACAGGGAGACACCACUUAUGAAAGAAGAUAGAAUAAAUGAAAAUAACAAGAGGACACGCGUAUUAGCUCGCAGGAAGACAACCCUAUCUGAAUCCUGAAAACAAACUAUUAAUCUACAAAGUUAUCAGAGAACCUAUCUGGAUGUACGGCAUCGAAUUACGAGGAACAGCAGCUGACAGCCGCAUUAAAAAAAAUAGGAUCAAUGCAGUCGAUAAUACACGACACAGUUGUGAAUGGUUCGCGGUAUGUUGAUGUAACGAUGACCUCAGAAAAAUCCUGGAAUGCUCUGCGAACAAGUAGCUAGUUGCUACAAAUAGUUGGCAACGCGUACACGUUAAAUUUAUCUCGAAGAUUGGUAAAAGCACAUCCGGGUAAGAAAAAAAGUCUUUUCCCAAGGAAAAAGUCUGCUUAGGUCAAGAGAGCGAGAGAGAAUUUAAUGACUUUCUGUCACAAUUUGAGAAAAAUUUCUUUCAAGAUUACGAUAGUAUCGCGCGUCGUAUGAGGCGUAGCCCCAUCUUGCUGAAACCAUAUGUUUUCCAAGUAUCUGACCGACCCAAUUCAGGCGGCAGGAACAUAUCGGGUUGCCGAUGCGUUCCAAGUUCUUAAGAACAACGUCUGGUGCAGUACGGGAGGAUCGUUCGCACAACUCUCGCUCGACUACAUCGAAGACCAACUCGACACAAUCGAGUUUCUUCGAAGCGUAAGGCAGAUUGAGAAAAAGCCACGGGACAUAGGUAGAUUCGUAGAAGAAACUCGUUGAAGUUCCAUUACAGACUGACGAUACAAAAAAAUGGUGGAAGUUAGGCCAGUUGCUAGGCAGGGGGUGUGGACACUCGAAUUUCCUGACUUGGCAUUUUCUCGAGAUGGACGAAGCGAAGAGAAGGAGUAAUCGACGAGUGCAUAUUUCGAAGGAAGAGAAAGUCAAACCUAACCCUAACCUAACCCUAACCUAACCCUAUGUCGCCGUCAUAUCAGGUAGCAACAGGCCCUGAGGCGACCGCUCGUGACGUUCGAGUGCCCGGUUAACGGUUCGCAGGCAAUCGAACGAUAAAGCGUGGCAAGUUUAAGAAAAGAGAAAGAAACGCCACAAUACGAUCGUCGUUAUACGCUAUUCUCUAAAGAUUCGAUAUUUCCGAGAAUGUUGCAAAGCGAAGGAACAGGAUAGAUCCAAACCAGAAAGACUGGUAUUGCAGUUCUAGCAAAAGAGAAGUGACUGUACGCUGACACUGACCGGACGUUGACCGGCAAAAAUGCAACGCGAGGUCAUCGAGUAGUAAUGAUUCGUAACAAAAAGAACAAGCGUACUCUCUCGUAGACCUUGGCGCGAACGAGACGCUUACGCUUUCCUUCGGAUCAUGGAGAAUUCGAGUCAUCGCCACCGUUUGCUUUCUCUGGUAUGCUAGUGGUGUCAUCGUUCAUUGGGAACGUACUUGUUAAUCUCUAGGGAAUUUCAUCCAAAUUAUGUCACGCUAGGAUAAUGUUCGCUUAGUAAUUAAUUCGGUAUCGAUAUAAUACCAACUAUAAUUACGCGACAGAUACAUGUACAUGUCGAUUACACAACAUCAUGUACGGUUUAUAUUCGAACGAGAGUAUCGGUGGUUAAACGAUUUCUUAAAAUCAUCGUUAUUGCUAAGAACUUUUUGCUUUUUCGCGCCACGUGUAAUUGCAUACAAGAAUCAUAACGUUAUUCAGGCCGCGAACGACCUCGACCCGCUUUUUUCUUCGUCUGGUUAUGCGCGACAGGCUAACCAUUUAUCUUUAGCGUUCAGCGGGCAGAGGUGGAUAAAUCCUCCUUUCUUUUUUCCUCUUUCUUUCUCGUGACUUUCUGUUUGUUUCGCCAGUACACGUCGGAUGAACGUCUGGUUCGCGAGCGCCUUUCCCCAACCGAAUUAAAAGUCGUUUUCCAAACAUCGAACUUUAUCAUUCACGAUGACCGCUACUUUAGAUACGCGUUAAAAAUGAAUUAUUAGACCGAUGCAUACGAAAAACCGUUUCUUCGAAGUUCCAACUUCCCGUGCCAGUACCACCCAUUUGGUUUUCCACGAUUAUUUCAUGAUUUUCGAAUAUGUUACCAGCCGCGUGUUUCCCCCAAAUUUUCCCCCAUAGUUCCUGAAAUACCCGCGGAGAAUUCUGCCUAUACUUGCGCGCCAAAUUAAAAUUAAAAUCUUGAAUUUUCUCAACAACAAAGAGAUAGCAGAACGUUAUCGAUCACUGGCGCCUACGUGUGCGGUUUAAAAGAUACCGAUGCAGCGUCCUUCUUAGACCAAUAUCACGAAUGUACCAUUCGAUAGAUAACAGGAAUUCAUGAUCGAGUGUAAAAUUAUUAGAUAAUUCUGGAGAUAAUGA
This is a long non-coding RNA of Bombus impatiens (common eastern bumble bee), 3984 nucleotides long. RefSeq lists it as uncharacterized. Lineage: Eukaryota; Metazoa; Arthropoda; Insecta; Hymenoptera; Apidae. The record is from RefSeq and is a predicted model, not a curated record. The transcript has 3 exons.